GACGAACGCUGGCGGCGUGCUUAACACAUGCAAGUCGAGCGGUAAGGCCCUUUCGGGGGUACACGAGCGGCGAACGGGUGAGUAACACGUGGGUGACCUGCCCUCAGCUCUGGGAUAAGCCUGGGAAACCGGGUCUAAUACUGGAUAUGACUCCAUGACGCAUGUUGUGGGGCGGAAAGCCUUGUGCGGCUGAGGAUGGGCCCGCGGCCUAUCAGCUUGUUGGUGGGGUGANGGCCUACCAAGGCGACGACGGGUAGCCGGCUUGAGAGGGCGACCGGCCACACUGGGACUGAGACACGGCCCAGACUCCUACGGGAGGCAGCAGUGGGGAAUCUUGCGCAAUGGGCGAAAGCCUGACGCAGCGACGCCGCGUGAGGGAUGACGG
RNAcentral lists this ribosomal RNA (385 nucleotides) under uncultured bacterium. RNAcentral's name for it is "bacterial SSU rRNA". It matches the Rfam family "Bacterial small subunit ribosomal RNA", at positions 28 to 414 of the family's 1533-position model. The record is from RNAcentral.